Molecule: non-coding RNA, 114 nt
Filed under: Paraburkholderia phenazinium
Lineage: Bacteria; Pseudomonadati; Pseudomonadota; Betaproteobacteria; Burkholderiales; Burkholderiaceae
Description: Glycine sequence
Rfam family: Glycine riboswitch aptamer
About the family: This family represents the bacterial glycine riboswitch.
Source: Rfam by way of RNAcentral
GCGGGAACAUCUGGAGAGCGGCGCUUAACGCGCCCACCGAAGGGGAUUUCCGCCCGCCCGGCAACGGGAUGCGCGCGGAAAGAAACUCUCAGGUACAUGGACAGAUGGGGCAUG